UACGUAGGGUGCAAGCGUUAAUCGGAAUUACUGGGCGUAAAGCGUGCGCAGGCGGUUGUGCAAGACAGAUGUGAAAUCCCCGGGCUUAACCUGGGAACUGCAUUUGUGACUGCACGGCUAGAGUGUGUCAGAGGGGGGUAGAAUUCCACGUGUAGCAGUGAAAUGCGUAGAGAUGCGGAGGAACACCGAUGGCGAAGGCAGCCCCCUGGGCUGACACUGACGCUCAGGCACGAAAGCGUGGGGAGCAAACAGG
RNAcentral lists this ribosomal RNA (253 nucleotides) under uncultured bacterium. RNAcentral describes it as "partial 16S ribosomal RNA". It matches the Rfam family "Bacterial small subunit ribosomal RNA", at positions 524 to 776 of the family's 1533-position model. The record is from RNAcentral.